UACGUAUGGUGCAAGCGUUAUCCGGAUUUACUGGGUGUAAAGGGAGCGUAGACGGUUGUUUAAGUCUGAAGUGAAAGCCCGGGGCUCAACCCCGGGACUGCUUUGGAAACUAUGCAGCUAGAGUGUCGGAGAGGUAAGUGGAAUUCCCAGUGUAGCGGUGAAAUGCGUAGAUAUUGGGAGGAACACCAGUGGCGAAGGCGGCUUACUGGACGAUGACUGACGUUGAGGCUCGAAAGCGUGGGGAGCAAACAGG
Molecule: ribosomal RNA, 253 nt
Filed under: Coprococcus comes ATCC 27758
Lineage: Bacteria; Bacillati; Bacillota; Clostridia; Lachnospirales; Lachnospiraceae
Description: partial 16S ribosomal RNA
Rfam family: Bacterial small subunit ribosomal RNA
Source: RNAcentral